This 409-nucleotide ribosomal RNA is filed under the name uncultured beta proteobacterium. RNAcentral describes it as "bacterial SSU rRNA". It matches the Rfam family "Bacterial small subunit ribosomal RNA", at positions 9 to 420 of the family's 1533-position model. Lineage: Bacteria; Pseudomonadati; Pseudomonadota; Betaproteobacteria. The record is from RNAcentral.
GAGUUUGAUCCUGGCUCAGAAUCAACGCUGGCGGCAUGCCUUACACAUGCAAGUCGAACGGCAGCACGGGCUUCGGCCUGGUGGCGAGUGGCGAACGGGUGAGUAAUACAUCGGAACGUGCCCUGUUGUGGGGGAUAACCAGUCGAAAGAUUGGCUAAUACCGCAUACGACCUGAGGGUGAAAGCGGGGGACCGCAAGGCCUCGCGCAGCAGGAGCGGCCAAUGUCUGAUUAGCUAGUUGGUGGGGUAAAGGCCCACCAAGGCGACGAUCAGUAGCUGGUCUGAGAGGACGAUCAGCCACACUGGGACUGAGACACGGCCCAGACUCCUACGGGAGGCAGCAGUGGGGAAUUUUGGACAAUGGGGGCAACCCUGGUCCAGCAAUGCCGCGUGUGUGAAGAAGGCCUCGG